RNAcentral lists this long non-coding RNA (206 nucleotides) under Mytilus galloprovincialis (Mediterranean mussel). Lineage: Eukaryota; Metazoa; Mollusca; Bivalvia; Mytilida; Mytilidae. The record is from RNAcentral.
AGAUAUAGAGUGGACACAAUCUUCACCACAGGACACAGGGUUGUCAACUGAAACCAAAGUUUUUUUGACGUUGACCUUUGACCUAGGAAGUUGUACAUACAUCAUGACACGCCCUCUGGUGGUGGUUAAAAUGUAUGACAAGUAUAUACUUUGAAAUCAUAACGAUUAUCUAGAUAUGGAGCGGACACGAUCUUCACCACAGGACA